Long non-coding RNA from Coregonus clupeaformis (lake whitefish), 243 nucleotides. RefSeq lists it as uncharacterized. The record is from RefSeq and is a predicted model, not a curated record. The transcript is spliced from 4 exons. Lineage: Eukaryota; Metazoa; Chordata; Actinopteri; Salmoniformes; Salmonidae.
GAGGAGGAGGAAUGUCGUCAGAGGGAGGAUGCAGACAGACUGAGGAAGGAGAGAGAGAAACAUUUUCAGAAAGAAGAGGCUGAAAGACUGGAGAGGAAGAAGCGUCUGGAGGAGAUUAUGAAGAGGACACGUCGCUCAGGCCCAGCGGAGAAGAAAACCACUCCUCACAAGAACGUAGACGAAUCCGGUAACUCCCUACCGAUCUGUCCUCUCAGUGCGUCGAGCUGUGAUUCUCCAGGCCCC